UAACGCGUGAGCAAUCUGCCUUUAAGAGGGGGGUAACAGUCGGAAACGGCUGCUAAUACCGCAUAAAGCAUCGAAACCGCAUGAUUUUGAUGCCAAAGGAGCAAUCCGCUUUUAGAUGAGCUCGCGUCUGAUUAGCUGGUUGGCGGGGUAACGGCCCACCAAGGCGACGAUCAGUAGCCGGACUGAGAGGUUGAACGGCCACAUUGGGACUGAGACACGGCCCAG
RNAcentral lists this ribosomal RNA (225 nucleotides) under uncultured bacterium. RNAcentral describes it as "partial 16S ribosomal RNA". It matches the Rfam family "Bacterial small subunit ribosomal RNA", at positions 111 to 334 of the family's 1533-position model. The record is from RNAcentral.